Molecule: ribosomal RNA, 253 nt
Filed under: uncultured bacterium
Lineage: Bacteria
Description: partial 16S ribosomal RNA
Rfam family: Bacterial small subunit ribosomal RNA
Source: RNAcentral
UACAGAGGGGGCAAGCGUUGUUCGGAAUUACUGGGCGUAAAGGGCGCGUAGGCGGCCUGUUAAGUCGAACGUGAAAUCCCCGGGCUCAACCCGGGAACUGCGUCCGAUACUGGCAGGCUUGAAUUCGGGAGAGGGAUGCGGAAUUCCAGGUGUAGCGGUGAAAUGCGUAGAUAUCUGGAGGAACACCGGUGGCGAAGGCGGCAUCCUGGACCGAGAUUGACGCUGAUGCGCGAAAGCUAGGGGAGCAAACGGG